Molecule: long non-coding RNA, 215 nt
Filed under: Elaeis guineensis (African oil palm)
Lineage: Eukaryota; Viridiplantae; Streptophyta; Magnoliopsida; Arecales; Arecaceae
Description: long non-coding RNA (EGUI_LNC022680)
Source: RNAcentral
ACCGUCACGGUGACUUGCAAGUAACUCACUGCACUUAGGUACUGGACUACCUGAAUUUCUAAUUCAGUGAUGGAAGGCUGCUGGGUGUAGUCAAGUACUUGACUUGUCGGUGCGUGUGUCAAGAUGGGAUUGACCACUCCAGUUUAGGAGCUGUGUACAGUCAUGUUUCAAUUUAGCAAUACCUUGAUCAGGAUAGUCCUAGUGAGGAGUCACAG